UAGGGAAUCUUCGGCAAUGGACGAAAGUCUGACCGAGCAACGCCGCGUGAGUGAAGAAGGUUUUCGGAUCGUAAAACUCUGUUGUUAGAGAAGAACAAGGACGUUAGUAACUGAACGUCCCCUGACGGUAUCUAACCAGAAAGCCACGGCUAACUACGUGCCAGCAGCCGCGGUAAUACGUAGGUGGCAAGCGUUGUCCGGAUUUAUUGGGCGUAAAGCGAGCGCAGGCGGUUUCUUAAGUCUGAUGUGAAAGCCCCCGGCUCAACCGGGUAGGGUCAUUGGAAACUGGGAGACUUGAGGGCAGAAGAGGAGGGUGGAAUUCCAUGUGUAGCGGGGAAAUGCGUAGAUAUAUGGAGGAAAACCAGUGGCGAAGGCGGCUCUCUGGUCUGUAACAGACGCUGAGGCUCGAAAGCGUGGGGAGCAAACAGG
Molecule: ribosomal RNA, 429 nt
Filed under: Chloroflexota bacterium
Lineage: Bacteria; Bacillati; Chloroflexota
Description: Chloroflexi bacterium partial 16S ribosomal RNA
Rfam family: Bacterial small subunit ribosomal RNA
Source: RNAcentral